UCUCAUUUUUCUUUUUUUCCUUUUCGCGACAGUCUCUCUUUUUUUUAUCUCUCGACGAAAUGCGAUUGGCGAUGCGAUUAACCUCAAAUUCAUAGAAAUCAAUCGAUUCACCUUGAAUCAUUUGAUUUUUCCGGCUUAAACACGAGGGUUCUUGGUCUUUGACACCAAUUUUUGUGUGGAUUGGUUUCUAAUCCAUAUUCCUACCAAUUUGACGAUUUGCUUCUCAUGGCCAUCGAUUUCCGAUUGCAAUAACGAUGACGGAUGGUUCCUCUAAUGGCCUUAAAGGGGACUGUGAGGUCCACCGGCUAGCAAAUCGGACACGCAAAGUUCAUCUUCACAUCUUCGAUGUUCUGCAUGUCGUUGUGUUUAUCAACUAGUGUAAGAGUACAUUCUGCAGAGAGAGGUCCUUUGGGUGAAGAGAGGUGUGAAUGGGCAGAGUUUUCUUUGGUUCUUAUUCCAAAAGGUUGUUUGUCCAAGAGACAUGUGAAGCUGUCUUGUUGUCUACUGAAGGUGAAGCCGUCUUGUUAACUAGGGAAAAAGUAACCCGUGAAGUGGUAGCUUCUGAUGAAGAGUUCUUCUGUUAUAAAGUGACCUGUGAAUGUGGUGUUGUUUUUAUUGUCAAGUAGUAGGUCCUUUGUAAGAAAGUAACCAGUGAAUGUUGCGUUGUUUUUAUUGUCAAGUAGUAGGAUGUCUUUCUUGGUCAAUAUAUCGAACACAUAUUGUACUAUUUCCUCUCGUUCUCAUCACUUAUCUCCCUUUGUAUUCUCAUCCCUUCUCUCCCUUUAUAUUGAACACAUUGUAUUCAUC
Molecule: RNA transcript, 807 nt
Organism: Camelina sativa (false flax)
Lineage: Eukaryota; Viridiplantae; Streptophyta; Magnoliopsida; Brassicales; Brassicaceae
Gene name: glutathione S-transferase T3-like
Source: RefSeq, a predicted model, not a curated record